Molecule: ribosomal RNA, 307 nt
Filed under: Sordariomycetes sp.
Lineage: Eukaryota; Fungi; Ascomycota; Sordariomycetes
Description: eukaryotic LSU rRNA
Source: RNAcentral
GAGUCGAGUAGUUUGGGAAUGCUGCUYUAAAUGGGAGGUAAAUUUCUUCUAAAGYUAAAUACCGGCCAGAGACCGAUAGCGCACAAGUAGAGUGAUCGAAAGAUGAAAAGCACUUUGAAAAGAGGGUUAAAUAGCACGUGAAAUUGUUGAAAGGGAAGCGUUUACGGCCAGACCUUUUCCUGGCGGAUCAUCUGGUGUUCUCACCAGUGCACUUCGCCAGGUUUAGGCCAGCAUCGGCUUCUGUAGGGGGAUAAAAGCAGUGGGAAAGUAGCUCCCUCGGGAGUGUUAUAGCCCUAAGCAUAAUACC